AUCCAACUGACGAGUCCCAAAUAGGACAAAAUGUUUGUGUUGGAU
Molecule: non-coding RNA, 45 nt
Filed under: Schistosoma mattheei
Lineage: Eukaryota; Metazoa; Platyhelminthes; Trematoda; Strigeidida; Schistosomatidae
Source: RNAcentral